UUGGGCGUAAAGCGCGCGCAGGCGGCCUUUUAAGUCUGAUGUGAAAGCCCCCGGCUCAACCGGGGAGGGUCAUUGGAAACUGGAAGGCUUGAGUGCAGAAGAGAAGAGCGGAAUUCCACGUGUAGCGGUGAAAUGCGUAGAGAUGUGGAGGAACACCAGUGGCGAAGGCGGCUCUUUGGUCUGUAACUGACGCUGAGGCGCGAAAGCGUGGGGAGCGAACAGGAUUAGAUACCCUGGUAGUCCACGCCGUAAACGAUGAGUGCUAAGUGUUGGGGGGUUUCCGCCCCUCAGUGCUGCAGCUAACGCAUUAAGCAC
RNAcentral lists this ribosomal RNA (315 nucleotides) under Firmicutes bacterium Jbg5. RNAcentral describes it as "bacterial SSU rRNA". It matches the Rfam family "Bacterial small subunit ribosomal RNA", at positions 554 to 867 of the family's 1533-position model. The record is from RNAcentral. Lineage: Bacteria; Bacillati; Bacillota.